Sinocyclocheilus grahami is the source of this 1354-nucleotide long non-coding RNA. RefSeq lists it as uncharacterized. The transcript is spliced from 3 exons. The record is from RefSeq and is a predicted model, not a curated record. Lineage: Eukaryota; Metazoa; Chordata; Actinopteri; Cypriniformes; Cyprinidae.
GUUUCUGUGAAAAUAGGCGAGGAACUGAAGUUGGAUGUUCUGCUGCCAAAUGCUGAUAAAGUGGAGAAAAACUCCAGUGGAGAGUUGAGGGAGGUGUGGAAGAGAGGUCGUGGGGUCUGGAGUGAUCGACUGAACGACACUGAUGGGACUCUGAGCAUUAAAGAGUUUACAGCCAAUGAUGCAGGAACAUACAGAGUUCUGGACUCUGAAGGAGAAAUCUUGAUCACAGUGACAGUCACAGGUGCAUUAUCAGGUACAGAAUCAAAGGACAAACUGGACACAGAUGAUGAACAACCUAAUGGCACUGAACAACCUCCCGCUUGGGUUUGGAUUGUGAUUGUUCUGGGGGUUUUGGGGGCUCUGGGUCUGAUUGCAUUUGCUGUCAUCAGGACACACCAGCAUCAGAACCGGAACGAGGGAUGUAAUUCCUACCAAUGCGUCUCAGUGGAACAAACUGUACAGGGGCCCACAUUACCUGACAACAGCAACGGUUAUGUGCAAUCUACCUUUAGUGCCAACAGAUCUGCAGAGGAUGCUGUCAGCGUAUCAUUCCUGACCGAAUAAGCUGUUUAAAUGUCUCCACCUAUUGGUCACUUUAAUUUCAAUGUUUUUUUAAAUAAUCAUUUCAAAUGUAUAUAUUCAAAAAUUCAAACAUUCCUCUCCUAGCAUUAUUUAUGAUUGUGUAAGUGCAGCAUACUGUAAAUGUAAUUAGUUCACAUGCCCUCAAAUAGUUAUACAAGUCACACAAGUUUGAUUUAUUUUUUGACAAGCAAACUUUUUCAAACUGUUUGCAACAUCAAUGUCCUUUGCCAGUCACAUACAUGUUUAACUGAUGAACUGCACUCAUGUGCUACAAAUCAAGGCCACAAGCUUGUGCUACAAAACUUUCAGUCUCUGUAGCACCAGUGAUAUGUGCAAAAAAAAGUUAGCGUGCAGCUCUGGUGACCCUGUCUUAGUAAUUCAUCCCUCAAACGUUUACAAGUGGUUUGCACAGUGCUGCUGCUAAGCUUUUAACCAAGUCAUCAAAGAGAUCACACGUAACCCCAAUUUUAAUUUCUUUACAUUGGCUCCCUGUCAAAUUUAGAAUGAUGAUUGCGGUGGUGUUUAGAGCGUUGCAUGGUCAAGCCCCUGUGUAUAUAACAGAGAUGUUGCAACCCUAUAACUUUAGUAGCAAUCUGAGAUCCUGCUAGUUGUUCCACGCUCUAGAUUGAAGACAAAAGGAGACUGUGCCUUUGAAGUAGCUGCUCCCAAGUUGUGGAAUGCUCUUCCUCUGAAACUGAGAUCUGUGGACUCUGUAGACAUUUUUAAAAAGCAGCUGAAAACUCACUUGUUCAAACUUGCUUUUUCUAAAGCA